This 574-nucleotide ribosomal RNA is filed under the name uncultured bacterium. RNAcentral's name for it is "bacterial SSU rRNA". It matches the Rfam family "Bacterial small subunit ribosomal RNA", at positions 338 to 916 of the family's 1533-position model. The record is from RNAcentral.
CCUACGGGAGGCAGCAGUAAGGAAUAUUGGACAAUGCUCGCAAGAGUGAUCCAGCCAUGCCGCGUGCAGGAAGAAUGCCCUAUGGGUAGUAAACUGCUUUUGAACUAGAGAAAACCCCAGUACGUGUACUGGGCUGAUAGUAUAGUUAGAAUAAGCAUCGGCUAACUUCGUGCCAGCAGCCGCGGUAAGACGAAGGAUGCAAGCGUUAUCCGGAUUCAUUGGGUUUAAAGGGAGCGUAGGUGGACUGAUAAGUCAGUGGUGAAAUCUCCGAGCUUAACUCGGAAAUUGCCAUUGAUACUGUUGGUCUUGAGUACAGUUGCUGUGGGCGGAAUAUGACAUGUAGUGGUGAAAUACAUAGAGAUGUCAUAGAACACCGAUUGCGAAGGCAGCUCACAAAGCUGUAACUGACACUGAGGCUCGAAAGUGCGGGGAUCAAACAGGAUUAGAUACCCUGGUAGUCCGCACCGUAAACGAUGAUUACUCGCUGCUAGGGGGCAACCUUUAGUGGCUUAGCGAAGCGAUAAGAAUCACCUGGGAGUACGCCGGCGACGGUGAACGUCGAAAGGAUUGACGG